GGCCAACCUGCAUUGGAGUUGUUAUUUCCAGCUGGCACAGCCGAGAACUAGAGUAACGUAUUGUUUGACGACAUCCUUGUUGUUGCUGCUGUUGCUACUAUUGCUGCUGAUGCUGUUGCUGCUGAUCCUGAUGGUGAUGCUGCUGUUGCUGUUGUUACGGUAAAAGUCCU
RNAcentral lists this microRNA precursor (170 nucleotides) under Trichophyton rubrum BMU01672. The record is from RNAcentral. Lineage: Eukaryota; Fungi; Ascomycota; Eurotiomycetes; Onygenales; Arthrodermataceae.